AUGUAUAGGGAAGCUAACUGCCUC
RNAcentral lists this non-coding RNA (24 nucleotides) under Arabidopsis thaliana (thale cress). The record is from RNAcentral. Lineage: Eukaryota; Viridiplantae; Streptophyta; Magnoliopsida; Brassicales; Brassicaceae.